UGGGCACACAAAUAAUAACAAGAAUGGUGUUAGAGUAGGAGGAGAAGGAAGAAUAAGAAAACAAAGAAAAAGAAAAAAAGAAAGAAGAGGUGAAUGAAGAGGAAGAAGAUCAAAUUACAAUAUUUACCGAUGAAUAAUUAUCAAUGGAUUUGAGUCGCUUAUAAUUACUGACAAACAAUUGCAAACGAAUUUUUGUUGAUUAGUAAUUAGAUGGAUUUUAUGAUCUGUAG
This 230-nucleotide long non-coding RNA is filed under the name Vigna radiata. RNAcentral's name for it is "long non-coding RNA (VRAD_LNC003581)". Lineage: Eukaryota; Viridiplantae; Streptophyta; Magnoliopsida; Fabales; Fabaceae. The record is from RNAcentral.